RNAcentral lists this ribosomal RNA (467 nucleotides) under uncultured bacterium. Its description in RNAcentral is "partial 16S ribosomal RNA". It matches the Rfam family "Bacterial small subunit ribosomal RNA", at positions 28 to 507 of the family's 1533-position model. The record is from RNAcentral.
GACGAACGCUGGCGGCGUGCUUAACACAUGCAAGUCGAACGGAAAGGCUCCAGCUUGCUGGCGUACUCGAGUGGCGAACGGGUGAGUAACACGUGGGUAAACUGUCCUGCAAUCUGGGAUAAGACUGGGAAACAGGGGCUAAUACUGGAUAUGAUCUUUUUACUUAUGGGGUUUGGUGGUAAGAUUUUCGGUAUAGGAUGGGCACGCGGCCUAUCAGCUUGUAGGUGGGGUGUUGGCAUACGACGGCGUCGACGGGUAGCCGACCUGAGAGGGUGACCGGGGACAUGAGGACUACGGGAGGGCGCAGACGCCAACGUUACGCAGUAGGGGAGAACAUGACAGAAUAGGCCGGAGCCAGAGGUGACGACGCCGCGUGAGUGAAGACGGGCUUCUAGUGAUAAACCUCUGUCUGCAGGGACGAAGCGUAAUUGACGGUACCUACAGAAGAAGCACCGGCUAACUAUGUG